AGAGUUUGAUCAUGGCUCAGAGCGAACGCUGGCGGCAGGCCUAACACAUGCAAGUCGAACGGACCCUUCGGGGUUAGUGGCGGACGGGUGAGUAACACGUGGGAACGUGCCUUUAGGUUCGGAAUAGCUCCUGGAAACGGGUGGUAAUGCCGAAUGUGCCCUUCGGGGGAAAGAUUUAUCGCCUUUAGAGCGGCCCGCGUCUGAUUAGCUUGUUGGUGGGGUAAUGGCCCACCAAGGCUACGAUCAGUAGCUGGUCUGAGAGGAUGACCAGCCACAUUGGGACUGAGACACGGCCCAAACUCCUACGGGAGGCAGCAGUGGGGAAUCUUGCGCAAUGGGCGAAAGCCUGACGCAGCCAUGCCGCGUGUAUGAUGAAGGUCUUAGGAUUGUAAAAUACUUUCACCGGUGAAGAUAAUGACUGUAGCCGGAGAAGAAGCCCCGGCUAACUUCGUGCCAGCAGCCGCGGUAAUACGAAGGGGGCUAGCGUUGCUCGGAAUUACUGGGCGUAAAGGGAGCGUAGGCGGACAUUUAAGUCAGAGGUGAAAUCCCGGAGCUCAACUCCGGAACUGCCUUUGAUACUGGGUGUCUUGAGUGUGAGAGAGGUAUGUGGAACUCCGAGUGUAGAGGUGAAAUUCGUAGAUAUUCGGAAGAACACCAGUGGCGAAGGCGACAUACUGGCUCAUUACUGACGCUGAGGCUC
This 700-nucleotide ribosomal RNA is filed under the name uncultured bacterium. RNAcentral's name for it is "bacterial SSU rRNA". It matches the Rfam family "Bacterial small subunit ribosomal RNA", at positions 8 to 754 of the family's 1533-position model. The record is from RNAcentral.